Molecule: ribosomal RNA, 603 nt
Filed under: Lacticaseibacillus paracasei
Lineage: Bacteria; Bacillati; Bacillota; Bacilli; Lactobacillales; Lactobacillaceae
Description: bacterial SSU rRNA
Rfam family: Bacterial small subunit ribosomal RNA
Source: RNAcentral
UUCCACAAUGGACGCAAGUCUGAUGGAGCAACGCCGCGUGAGUGAAGAAGGCUUUCGGGUCGUAAAACUCUGUUGUUGGAGAAGAAUGGUCGGCAGAGUAACUGUUGUCGGCGUGACGGUAUCCAACCAGAAAGCCACGGCUAACUACGUGCCAGCAGCCGCGGUAAUACGUAGGUGGCAAGCGUUAUCCGGAUUUAUUGGGCGUAAAGCGAGCGCAGGCGGUUUUUUAAGUCUGAUGUGAAAGCCCUCGGCUUAACCGAGGAAGCGCAUCGGAAACUGGGAAACUUGAGUGCAGAAGAGGACAGUGGAACUCCAUGUGUAGCGGUGAAAUGCGUAGAUAUAUGGAAGAACACCAGUGGCGAAGGCGGCUGUCUGGUCUGUAACUGACGCUGAGGCUCGAAAGCAUGGGUAGCGAACAGGAUUAGAUACCCUGGUAGUCCAUGCCGUAAACGAUGAAUGCUAGGUGUUGGAGGGUUUCCGCCCUUCAGUGCCGCAGCUAACGCAUUAAGCAUUCCGCCUGGGGAGUACGACCGCAAGGUUGAAACUCAAAGGAAUUGACGGGGGCCCGCACAAGCGGUGGAGCAUGUGGUUUAAUUCGAAGCA